This 83-nucleotide transfer RNA is filed under the name Chloroflexota bacterium. Its description in RNAcentral is "Chloroflexi bacterium (freshwater metagenome) tRNA-Tyr". It matches the Rfam family "tRNA". From Rfam's summary of the family: Transfer RNA (tRNA) molecules are approximately 80 nucleotides in length. Their secondary structure includes four short double-helical elements and three loops (D, anti-codon, and T loops). Lineage: Bacteria; Bacillati; Chloroflexota. The record is from RNAcentral.
GCAGAGGCGGCGAAGAUGGCGAGUCGCGCCUGUCUGUAAAACAGGUGUCUUUGGCUGAGCAGGUUCGAAUCCUGCCCUCUGCA